Molecule: ribosomal RNA, 490 nt
Filed under: uncultured bacterium
Lineage: Bacteria
Description: partial 16S ribosomal RNA
Rfam family: Bacterial small subunit ribosomal RNA
Source: RNAcentral
UGGGGAAUCUUAGACAAUGGGGGAAACCCUGAUCUAGCCAUGCCGCGUGAGCGAUGAAGGCCUUAGGGUUGUAAAGCUCUUUCAGCUGGGAAGAUAAUGACGGUACCAGCAGAAGAAGCCCCGGCUAACUCCGUGCCAGCAGCCGCGGUAAUACGGAGGGGGCUAGCGUUGUUCGGAAUUACUGGGCGUAAAGCGCACGUAGGCGGAUUAGUCAGUCAGAGGUGAAAUCCCAGGGCUCAACCCUGGAACUGCCUUUGAUACUGCUAGUCUUGAGGUCGAGAGAGGUGAGUGGAAUUCCGAGUGUAGAGGUGAAAUUCGUAGAUAUUCGGAGGAACACCAGUGGCGAAGGCGGCUCACUGGCUCGAUACUGACGCUGAGGUGCGAAAGCGUGGGGAGCAAAACAGGAUUAGAUACCCUGGUAGUCCACGCCGUAAAACGAUGAAUGCCAGUCGUCGGGUUGCAUGCAAUUCGGUGACACACCUAACGGAUU